Non-coding RNA from Ipomoea nil (Japanese morning glory), 187 nucleotides. It matches the Rfam family "Antisense RNA which regulates isiA expression". Lineage: Eukaryota; Viridiplantae; Streptophyta; Magnoliopsida; Solanales; Convolvulaceae. The record is from Rfam.
AAUAACCAAAUAUUAUACUUGGACUCAGGGUCAAGUUGGUAAUUUUUCUUACAUCUCCCCCUCCUGGGGCCCAGGUAUCAUAUACACCUCCAAAAUAAAGGGCCUUGAACACUAGAAGAAAAGCACCUAGACCUAACAAGAUUAAGUGAAUACCUAAAAUUGUGGUCAUUUUAUUUCUAUCUUUCCA